Molecule: ribosomal RNA, 617 nt
Filed under: uncultured bacterium
Lineage: Bacteria
Description: bacterial SSU rRNA
Rfam family: Bacterial small subunit ribosomal RNA
Source: RNAcentral
GAAAGAUGGCUUUGGCUAUCACUCUGGGAUGGACCUGCGGUGCAUUAGCUAGUUGGUAAGGUAACGGCUUACCAAGGCGAUGAUGCAUAGCCGAGUUGAGAGACUGAUCGGCCACAAUGGAACUGAGACACGGUCCAUACUCCUACGGGAGGCAGCAGUAGGGAAUCUUCCACAAUGGGCGCAAGCCUGAUGGAGCAACACCGCGUGAGUGAAGAAGGGUUUCGGCUCGUAAAGCUCUGUUGUUGGAGAAGAACGUGCGUGAGAGUAACUGUUCACGCAGUGACGGUAUCCAACCAGAAAGUCACGGCUAACUACGUGCCAGCAGCCGCGGUAAUACGUAGGUGGCAAGCGUUAUCCGGAUUUAUUGGGCGUAAAGCGAGCGCAGGCGGUUGCUUAGGUCUGAUGUGAAAGCCUUCGGCUUAACCGAAGAAGUGCAUCGGAAACCGGGCGACUUGAGUGCAGAAGAGGACAGUGGAACUCCAUGUGUAGCGGUGGAAUGCGUAGAUAUAUGGAAGAACACCAGUGGCGAAGGCGGCUGUCUGGUCUGCAACUGACGCUGAGGCUCGAAAGCAUGGGUAGCGAACAGGAUUAGAUACCCUGGUAGUCCAUGCCGUAAA